RNAcentral lists this ribosomal RNA (423 nucleotides) under uncultured bacterium. RNAcentral's name for it is "bacterial SSU rRNA". It matches the Rfam family "Bacterial small subunit ribosomal RNA", at positions 359 to 774 of the family's 1533-position model. The record is from RNAcentral.
GAAUCUUCCGCAAUGGACGAAAGUCUGACGGAGCAACGCCGCGUGAGUGAAGAAGGUUUUCGGAUCGUAAAACUCUGUUGUUAGAGAAGAACAAGGAUGAGAGUAACUGCUCGUCCCUUGACGGUAUCUAACCAGAAAGCCAUGGCUAACUACGUGCCAGCAGCCGCGGUAAUACGUAGAUGGCAAGCGUUGUCCGGAUUUAUUGGGCGUAAAGCGAGCGCAGGCGGUUCUUUAAGUCUGAUGUGAAAGCCCCUGGCUCAACCAGGGAGGGUCAUUGGAAACUGGAGAACUUGAGUGCAGAAGAGGAAAGUGGAAUUCCAUGUGUAGCGGUGAAAUGCGUAGAUAUAUGGAGGAACACCAGUGGCGAAGGCGACUUUCUGGUCUGUAACUGACGCUGAGGCUCGAAAGCAUGGGGAGCAAACA